This 433-nucleotide ribosomal RNA is filed under the name uncultured bacterium. RNAcentral's name for it is "partial 16S ribosomal RNA". It matches the Rfam family "Bacterial small subunit ribosomal RNA", at positions 29 to 507 of the family's 1533-position model. The record is from RNAcentral.
AGCGAACGCUGGCGGCAGGCUUAACACAUGCAAGUCGAGCGGGCCCUUCGGGGUCAGCGGCAGACGGGUGAGUAACACGUGGGAACGUACCCUUUGGUUCGGAAUAACGCUGGGAAACUAGCGCUAAUACCGGAUACGCCCUUUUGGGGAAAGGCUUGCUGCCGAAGGAUCGGCCCGCGUCUGAUUAGCUAGUUGGUGGGGUAAUGGCCUACCAAGGCGUCGAUCAGUAGCUGGUCUGAGAGGAUGAUCAGCCACACUGGGACUGAGACACGGCCCAGACUCCUACGGGAGGCAGCAGUGGGGAAUAUUGGACAAUGGGCGCAAGCCUGAUCCAGCCAUGCCGCGUGAGUGAUGAAGGCCUUAGGGUUGUAAAGCUCUUUUGUCCGGGACGAUAAUGACGGUACCGGAAGAAUAAGCCCCGGCUAACUUCGUG